This 494-nucleotide ribosomal RNA is filed under the name uncultured bacterium. Its description in RNAcentral is "partial 16S ribosomal RNA". It matches the Rfam family "Bacterial small subunit ribosomal RNA", at positions 28 to 507 of the family's 1533-position model. The record is from RNAcentral.
GACGAACGCUGGCGGCGUGCUUAACACAUGCAAGUCGAACGGAAAGGCCUGCUUUCCCUUGUGGAUUGCGGGUACUCGAGUGGCGAACGGGUGAGUAACACGUGAGUGAUCUGCCCCCAACUUGGGUAUAAGCCUGGGAAACUGGGUCUAAUUCCCGAUAGGACUGCAGGGUGGUGCCUGUGGUGGAAAACGAUUUUCUAGUGGUUGGGGAUGAGCUCGCGGCCUAUCAGCUUGUUGGUGGGGUAAUGGCCUACCAAGGCGGCGACGGGUAGCCGGCCUGAGAGGGUGGACGGCCACAUUGGGACUGAGAUACGGCCCAGACUCCUACGGGAGGCAGCAGUGGGGAAUACUGCACAAUGGGCGGAAGCCUGAUGCAGCGACGCCGCGUGGGGGAUGACGGCCUUCGGGUGGUAAACUCCUUUCGACCGCGAGGAAGCCACCUGGUUGGAAGGGUGGUGACGGUAGUGGUAGAAGAAGCACCGGCUAACUACGUG